CUCUCUCUCUCUCUCUCUCUCUCUCUCUCUCUCUCUCGCUCUCUCGAUAUAUGUAUAUAUAUGUGAGAUUAAUCUCUUCAUUUCAAUGUUUAUCUUUCUCAUCUCCAGAGGUAUUCCGCCACCCCGCUCCCGUAAAGACGAUAUGGCUUCAAUGAAGUGGGAGUCAGUUGGUGGCGGCUAUAAUGAUUAUAGGCCGUCGUAGCAUCUACUUUCCCACCCCUCGAUAUUUUCUUCGGUUAAGAGGCAAUACGUACUUGCAACUAUUUCGAGGAAUUACCAACUAAUUUUUGGCAGAUAGUCAGUUGCCCGCUGUUCUCCUGCUCAUCAACUGUUCCUCCUAGCCCAUCUCUCUCUCUCUCUCUCACCCUCCUCCCGCACCGGCCCUCUUGAUCUCUCGCUCGUUCUCUCUCCUAAUCUCCCUCCUUUCCUCUGGAUCAGCCAGGCUUUCCUUUCGAAUUUUGAGCCUGCAAGCCCUGGAUGAUCCAAAGGAGGCCCGAUAGAAAGCCUGGAGUCAAAUAGGAGCUUGAAAAGCAUACCGCGCACCCUUUUCAUUCUCACGUUAUCUCAAGAGUAUACCAUCAUUGAGGUGCGGUGAAGUUUAUUUCAUGUUUGUUCGAUUAUUCUUGGCGUCAUGCGUAGUGAAACAUUGUGUAUCGAUACUAUCCAAUAUACGUUAUCGUUGCUCAAAGAAUGAGUCGGUAAGUGAAUAUGUGAGCAAAUAAUGCAUGUUCACAUUCAUUCUUCGAAGGUUUCCGAUCCAAACCCAAGAUUAAUUGACCAUAUUAAAUAAUUUAUCAUUAUACUCUGGUUUAAAUGUCGAAAUUGUUUGAAGAGAAUUGUCGUUCAAACUGCACAUUCACAAAAUCGAAUAAGUUCUGAUGUAUGUUGUUCGUUAAUUGUUAUGAUGUUAAAUGAGCAAAGCAUAAUUGAUGCGUGCUCACUAUCGGUCCACUAAUGUUUACAAUUGAAAGUUAUGACGAUAUACUUUAAUCUUGUGAUCUUAUGUCAUAUCUUUGGGUCACGUCCAUGAAGGUGAGUAUUAAUAAAUAAAUAAAAUUCGGUUAAUAUUGGCUAAUAUUUGAAGUUCACCCACCGACUCCGUGAAUUAUAGUUAAAGCUUUUUCAGGUAUGAAAAGAAUCUGAUUAAUUUCAUGGGGGGUACGCCAAUCGAGAAUAGAAAAAGGAACUAUAAGAUGGGCAAGAAUAUAUUUGUGAAGUCAUUAUUCUGUUAAGAUCGUCAUUGUGAGUUCGAACUUUAUAAGACAUCGGACUCGUCACAGUAGAUACAUGGAAACUUUUAUAACUGGUGGCGUUUAACUCGUCAGGAUUUUAGAGAUCAUAUGUCCUGAGUAGUUCCGUCUGGGAUCAAUUAGCCUUCUCAGUGAGCAAGUCACCUCAGUUCACAAUGACAAAUACACACAGUUAAUACAUAUACGGAUCUGCACGUCAUGAACGCAGGAAUAUGUGAACCGUGCAAACAUAAGUGUGUUAGAAUACGUCGACAGAUCUAUGGUGGCAGUGUAUGAGAUGAAUCGGCGAAACCUGAUGAUGUACAGGAAACACCGAAAAUAGAAACCAGUGAAUUAUUUAGCAACACAAUCGACUCACAAGGUACACGUAAGAGGCGGGGGUGGGCAUCUCUAACAAACAUCUCGACGAUAGUCAGAUGUUCAAGGUUUCAUAUGACCUGUAAGGCCCAAAGAACGGGCGUAGGAUCGAGUAAGUUGUCUCUUAAGUGCCAGUCUUCACAGGUCUUGUGGGCAUCAGGAAGUCCAAGAGGAGUAAUGAAGCAUAUUUUUCCAAUUGGCCCUUUAUUUGACUGCGUUUGAAGUAUCGUCCUGCUUGACAUUCUUGUAAGAGUGGGAAACGCGAAUGCCCUCGUUUCUUUGUUCAUCUCAGCGAUCGUCCUCAAUCUCAGCAGGAAAGUAUUUGUUUGACAUCACUGACCACACGAGAAACGUUUGUCAGCUAUUUAUUCAAAUAAUAAUUGGUUUAGUUGGAUCUUUUAUUGUGCUUUGUUCUGAGUUGUGUUUUCGCAGCUCAGAUUACUUCUCCUCUCUCUCUCUCUCUCUCGCUCUCAGUACAAAACAAAUUUCUUUUGAGCUCCCAUGCUAAAACCUCCUCUCUUGUGGACCACUGACCACAGUUGAACUCAAUUAAUGUAUCAUGACCAUAUCAUGCAGACGAGCAUACCAUUGAAGGACAAAACCAAGCUCAUCAUGGUCCAUCCGGGGACCAACACAAUCGUUAGUUCAUCCUUAGCUCAUUCAUAGUUCCAUAGCCAUCGUUGAUUCGGCCAAGUGAUGGGAUCGGUGGUUCGGAAUGCAAUUCAACGGCCCUAGCUUCUAUCCCGUUUGCAGAUUCUUACUACACACCGAAAUCAGAGGGACGAAGAAGGCGAGAGACUUCUGGAGUGAUUUUUGCCUUAACAUAGGAAACGAUGGCGACAUCCGAACGCACGUAAGGUACCCACAUCAAACAUAGGUCCGGCAAGGACCACAACAAAUAAGAAUAAGGACAACACGACCAGCACACUCGUGAACAAAAGCACGUGAAGAGUGAAGCCCACAAGCGGCAGGCUACACCAGCGGCCAUGCACGUACAUCAGUGACGUCCGCCAAUGCCUCCACCGCCACCGAAGCCGCCGCCGCCGCCGCCGCCCCCGCCACCGCCUCCCCUGAAGCCGCCGCCUAGUCCGCCUCCGGCACCACCGCCGAAACCGCCUCCAAAGCCGCUGCCUGCACCGCCGCCGAUGCCUCCUCCGUUACCAUAUCCGCCUCCAAGUCCCCCACCCUUACCGUAACCUCCGCCAACACCGCCGCCGAGUCCACCACCCUUACCGAACCCGCCGCCUAGGCCACCGCCGGUGCCGUAUCCACCACCGAGCCCAUGUCCGCCGCCGAAAACCACCCCCGAUUCCACCGCCCUUGCCGAAACCACCGCCGAUUCNNNNN
RNAcentral lists this long non-coding RNA (2954 nucleotides) under Spirodela polyrhiza (greater duckweed). RNAcentral describes it as "long non-coding RNA (SPOL_LNC000262)". The record is from RNAcentral. Lineage: Eukaryota; Viridiplantae; Streptophyta; Magnoliopsida; Alismatales; Araceae.